This 401-nucleotide long non-coding RNA is filed under the name Spirodela polyrhiza (greater duckweed). RNAcentral's name for it is "long non-coding RNA (SPOL_LNC001726)". The record is from RNAcentral. Lineage: Eukaryota; Viridiplantae; Streptophyta; Magnoliopsida; Alismatales; Araceae.
GCAAAGUCCACCGCGUUCUGGCUCGUGAACGCCUCCCACAGCCCGUCGCUGCCGAUGACAAGGAACUCGUCGUCCUUCCCCAGAGUGACCAUCUUCAUCUCCGGCUCGGCGAUCAGCGGCCCUCCAUCGGCGCUCUUGAUUCCAUGCAGGUGCCAGUCCCCCAGAGCCCUCGUCACUCCAAUCUCCCCGUUCAGGUACUCGUUGUCGAUGAACCCCCCCAUUGCUUCCACCCUCAUUCUCUCUCUUCCGCAGCAGGGCCGGUGGUCCUUGGACAUCUCCACCGCCGUCCCGGCACGCGACAGCACCGCCCGGCAGUCCCCGGCAUUGGCGACCAGCAGCGAUCUGCACGCACCCACCAGAAUUCCACUCAAUUCCGUGAUCAAACAACGAUUGAGGAAGGA